AUACGGAGGGCGCAAGCGUUGUUCGGAAUUACUGGGCGUAAAGCGCGUGUAGGCGGUUCGGCAAGUCGGAUGAGAAAGCCCAGGGCUCAACCCUGGAACUGCAUUCGAAACUGCCGGGCUAGAGUCCCGGAGAGGAAGGCAGAAUUCCCAGUGUAGGGGUGAAAUCCGUAGAUAUUGGGAGGAAUACCUGCGGCGAAGGCGGCCUUCUGGACGGUGACUGACGCUGAGACGCGAAAGCGUGGGGAGCAAACAGGAUUAGAAACCCCAGUAGUCC
RNAcentral lists this ribosomal RNA (274 nucleotides) under uncultured bacterium. RNAcentral's name for it is "partial 16S ribosomal RNA". It matches the Rfam family "Bacterial small subunit ribosomal RNA", at positions 523 to 796 of the family's 1533-position model. The record is from RNAcentral.